UAAAGUGGGGGAUCUUCGGACCUCACGCUAUCAGAUGAGCCUAGGUCGGAUUAGCUAGUUGGUGGGGUAAAGGCCUACCAAGGCGACGAUCCGUAACUGGUCUGAGAGGAUGAUCAGUCACACUGGAACUGAGACACGGUCCAGACUCCUACGGGAGGCAGCAGUGGGGAAUAUUGGACAAUGGGCGAAAGCCUGAUCCAGCCAUGCCGCGUGUGUGAAGAAGGUCUUCGGAUUGUAAAGCACUUUAAGUUGGGAGGAAGGGCAGUAAGUUAAUACCUUGCUGUUUUGACGUUACCAAC
This 299-nucleotide ribosomal RNA is filed under the name Pseudomonas aeruginosa. Its description in RNAcentral is "partial 16S ribosomal RNA". It matches the Rfam family "Bacterial small subunit ribosomal RNA", at positions 202 to 482 of the family's 1533-position model. Lineage: Bacteria; Pseudomonadati; Pseudomonadota; Gammaproteobacteria; Pseudomonadales; Pseudomonadaceae. The record is from RNAcentral.